RNAcentral lists this ribosomal RNA (594 nucleotides) under Pichia cactophila. Its description in RNAcentral is "eukaryotic LSU rRNA". It matches the Rfam family "Eukaryotic large subunit ribosomal RNA", at positions 54 to 653 of the family's 3401-position model. The record is from RNAcentral. Lineage: Eukaryota; Fungi; Ascomycota; Pichiomycetes; Pichiales; Pichiaceae.
AGGAAAAGAAACCAACAGGGAUUGCCUCAGUAGCGGCGAGUGAAGCGGCAAGAGCUCAGAUUUGAAAUCGCAGCACCAUGCUGCGAGUUGUAGAUUGCAGGUGGGAGAGUCUGCGUAGGCCGGUGUCGAAGUCCCUUGGAACAGGGCGCCACUGAGGGUGAGAGCCCCGUGCGAUGCCACGCUCUACGUUUUGUACUCCCCUCUGACGAGUCGAGUUGUUUGGGAAUGCAGCUCUAAGUGGGUGGUAAAUUCCAUCUAAGGCUAAAUACUGGCGAGAGACCGAUAGCGAACAAGUACUGUGAAGGAAAGAUGAAAAGCACUUUGAAAAGAGAGUGAAACAGCACGUGAAAUUGUUGAAAGGGAAGGGUAUUGGGCCCGACAUGGGAAUCGCGCACCGCUGCUCCUUGUGGGCGGCGCUCUGGGCUUUUCCUGGGCCAGCAUCGGUUCUUGCUGCAGGAGAAGGGGCUGUGGAAUGUGGCUGCCGCGCUUUGCCGGGGCAGUGUUAUAGCCACUGGGCCAGAUGCUGCGUGUGGGGACCGAGGACUGCGGCCGCAAGGUCUCGGAUGCUGGCACAACGGCGCAAUACCGCCCGUC